Molecule: long non-coding RNA, 1465 nt
Organism: Triticum aestivum (bread wheat)
Lineage: Eukaryota; Viridiplantae; Streptophyta; Magnoliopsida; Poales; Poaceae
Exons: 2
Source: RefSeq, a predicted model, not a curated record
AGCUACCCGACCCAACCCUUCACGACCCUGCCUCCCAAAUCCCAAUCCCAUCUCGACUCCAGCGCGCCGCCACCUCUUGCCCCGCCCCGCCCGGCCGGCGCUCCGCCUCCCAUCGCCGAGCGUCGUCGCCCCUCCUCGCCGCGCCGCCGGACCGCCUACCGUCGUCACGCACUGCCAUGGCCUACCUUGCCGCCCCGCCUACCCCUACCCCAAGUUCCCCCACACCCGCGCCCAUCACCGGCAUCCAUACGCGCGACCUGUUUCUCUGUUGCCGGGCGGCUGCAGGAGGUGGCCGGCAUCGCCCCGUCAUCAAAUCCCCUAGCCGCUUGAUCUCAUCCGCCGCAUGCUGGCUGCCCGUACAGGAUUGACGCGCCCUAUAUCCGGCGACCCGCGGCUACUCCUCCCAGCCCCGGAUCUGCUCUCCCGCCACCUGCGACCCACGGCUUCAAUGAUCCACGACCAACUCGGCUGCCCCCUUCCCCGUGCAGCUGCCUCUGAGGCUGCAGCAGCCUUCGCACGAGGCCACUACGGCGCCACCUAUGCUGUCCUGAAGUUCCGUCAGAUUCGUCAAUUUCAGUUUCAUCAGUUUUUGUCAGAUUAAGUUUCAUCAGAUUCAGAUAAUUCAGUUUCGUCAAAGUUUCAGUUGUAAGUUAAUUUCUCACGCACGUUGGCGCUCGGCGCUCGACGUCGUCCACUUCCUCACAUCACUCGAGCCCAAAUGCGUGCAGGUUACACCAGCCUUUGAUUUAUAUACCUACCGUACGUCCACUGAUCAGUAACAUGAAAAGGUUGGGCGCUCUGAGCUAGAACAUAAGCUGAUUGAUGAGAUGAGUUAAAAUGCUUCUGAUUGGUUAGACCCUCAAUAUUCCAAACUGAAGUCCAAGGAAGAAGGAUCAGGAAUAGCAGGUCGUUGCUGAUUUGUGUUCGAAGAGGUGCAGCAAAAAGUGAGAAGCAACUGAGGUAAUCGCCGAUUGAAAAAAAUACAUGAUGCACUGAUGGAUUAUCAUGUAUAUAAUGCCUGUUAUUGGAAAGACCGAUGUUUUGCUCUGAACUUGUUUGUGUAAAUUUUUGGCAUUUUCCAUUGCUCUUCAGUGCACUGAAGAAUAGUGAAAUCUUGGCAUCCGAUUCCUUUUGCAGGCUAUGCUUUUAACUCAACCAAAUCUGCAUUGUUAGUUGCUCUUAUAGUCUGUUUGUAGCUAAUUGGGGGACAAACAUGGGCAAUGACCAGCUUAUUUUGAUGACAGUGCAAUCAAGGACUCACAUGUUCACUGAUGAAUCUACCUCUAUUUGCAUGGUUAUUUUCCGAAUCAGCAACACUUUAUGAGGGUCUUCAUCGGCAAUGUACAUAGUGAUGCAUAACUGUUGGUUUGAAUUAUUUGGAUGCUUCAGUUGUCAGACAUGUAUGUGCAGAGAGUUGAGGCUUUGAAAUUAGAUAAUAUGUCUAAUGAAUAUGCAUGUUUAUUCA